UGGACAUCUGUAACUGGUGUGUUUGCAUUUAUUGUGUGCUGUGCCAAUGC
RNAcentral lists this ribosomal RNA (50 nucleotides) under Globisporangium marsipium. RNAcentral's name for it is "partial 28S ribosomal RNA". The record is from RNAcentral. Lineage: Eukaryota; Oomycota; Peronosporomycetes; Pythiales; Pythiaceae.